This 553-nucleotide ribosomal RNA is filed under the name uncultured Nitrososphaerota archaeon. RNAcentral describes it as "bacterial SSU rRNA". It matches the Rfam family "Archaeal small subunit ribosomal RNA", at positions 325 to 879 of the family's 1478-position model. Lineage: Archaea; Thermoproteati; Nitrososphaerota. The record is from RNAcentral.
ACGGGGUGCAGCAGGCGCGAAACCUUUGCAAUGUGCGCAAGCACGACAAGGUUAAUCCGAGUGUUUCCUGCUAAAGGAAUCUUUUGUUAGUCGUAAAACCACUGAUGAAUAAGGGGUGGGCAAGUUCUGGUGUCAGCCGCCGCGGUAAAACCAGCACCUCAAGUGGUCAGGAGGAUUAUUGGGCCUAAAGCAUCCGUAGCCGGCUCUGCAAGUUUUCGGUUAAAUCCAUUUGCUUAACAAAUGGGCUGCCGAAAAUACUACAUAGCUAGGGAGUGGGAGAGGUAGACGGUAUUCGGUAGGAAGGGGUAAAAUCCUUUGAUCUAUUGAGGACCACCUAUGGCGAAGGCAGUCUACCAGAACACGUUCGACGGUGAGGGAUGAAAGCUGGGGGAGCAAACCGGAUUAGAUACCCGGGUAGUCCCAGCUGUAAACGAUGCAGACUCGGUGAUGCGCUGGCUUGUGGCCAGUGCAGUGCCGCAGGGAAGCCGUUAAGUUUGCCGCCUGGGAAGUACGUACGCAAGUAUGAAACUUAAAGGAAUUGGCGGGGGAGCAC